GACGAACGCUGGCGGCGUGCUUAACACAUGCAACUCGAACGGUGAUCCUGGUGCUUGCACCGGGUGAUCAGUGGCGAACGGGUGAGUAACACGUGAGCAACCUGCCCCCGACUCUGGGAUAACCCCGAGAAAUCGGAGCUAAUACCGGAUACGAGACGCACAGGCAUCUGUAGCGUCUGGAAAGGAUUCCGGUCGGGGAUGGGCUCGCGGCCUAUCAGCUAGUUGGUGAGGUAGUGGCUCACCAAGGCGACGACGGGUAGCCGGCCUGAGAGGGCGACCGGCCACACUGGGACUGAGACACGGCCCAGACUCCUACGGGAGGCAGCAGUGGGGAAUAUUGCACAAUGGGCGAAAGCCUGAUGCAGCGACGCCGCGUGGGGGAUGAAGGCCUUCGGGUUGUAAACCCCUUUCAGCAGGGAAGAAGCGAAAGUGACGGUACCUGCAGAAGAAGCGCCGGCUAACUACGUGCCAGCAGCCGCGGUAAUACGUAGGGCGCAAGCGUUGUCCGGAAUUAUUGGGCGUAAAGAGCUCGUAGGCGGUUUGUCGCGUCUGCUGUGAAAACCCGAGGCUCAACCUCGGGCCUGCAGUGGGUACGGGCAGACUAGAGUGCGGUAGGGGAGACUGGAAUUCCUGGUGUAGCGGUGGAAUGCGCAGAUAUCAGGAGGAACACCGAUGGCGAAGGCAGGUCUCUGGGCCGCAACUGACGCUGAGGAGCGAAAGCAUGGGGAGCGAACAGGAUUAGAUACCCUGGUAGUCCAUGCCGUAAACGUUGGGCACUAGGUGUGGGGCUCAUUCCACGAGUUCCGUGCCGCAGCAAACGCAUUAAGUGCCCCGCCUGGGGAGUACGGCCGCAAGGCUAAAACUCAAAGGAAUUGACGGGGGCCCGCACAAGCGGCGGAGCAUGCGGAUUAAUUCGAUGCAACGCGAAGAACCUUACCAAGGCUUGACAUAUACCGAAAACUCAUGGAGACAUGGGGUCCGCAAGGGCGGUAUACAGGUGGUGCAUGGUU
Molecule: ribosomal RNA, 1010 nt
Filed under: actinobacterium KCB45
Lineage: Bacteria; Bacillati; Actinomycetota; Actinomycetes
Description: bacterial SSU rRNA
Rfam family: Bacterial small subunit ribosomal RNA
Source: RNAcentral